CUGCAACUCGCCUGCAUGAAGUCGGAAUUGCUAGUAAUCGUAGGUCAGCAUACUACGGUGAAUACGUUCCCGGGCCUUGUACACACCGCCCGUCAAACCAUGAGAGUUGGCAACACCCGAAGUCGGUAGUCUAACCGCAAGGAGGACGCCGCCGAAGGUGGGCUUGAUAAUUGGGGUGAAGUCGUAACAAGGUAUC
Molecule: ribosomal RNA, 196 nt
Filed under: uncultured bacterium
Lineage: Bacteria
Description: partial 16S ribosomal RNA
Rfam family: Bacterial small subunit ribosomal RNA
Source: RNAcentral